CCUACGGGAGGCAGCAGUGGGGAAUAUUGCACAAUGGGGGAAACCCUGAUGCAGCGACGCCGCGUGAGUGAAGAAGGAAUUCGUUAUGUUAAGCUCUAUCAGCAGGGGAGAAAAUGACGGUACCUGAGUAAGAAGCCCCGGAUAACUACGUUCCAGCAGCCGCGGUAAUACGUAGGGGGCCAGCGUUAUCCGGAUUUACUGGGUGUAAAGGGCGCGUAGACGGCAGUGCAAGUCUGGAGUGAAAGGCGGGGGCUCAACCCCCGGACUGCCCUGGAAACUGGACGGCUGGAGUGCAUGAGAGGUAAGAGGAAUUCCUAGUGUAGCGGUGAAAUGCGUAGAUAUUAGGAGGAACACCAGUGGCGAAGGCGGCUUACUGGACUGUAACUGACGCUGAGGCUCGAAAGCGUGGGGAUCAAACAGGAUUAGAUACCCGGGUAGUC
RNAcentral lists this ribosomal RNA (440 nucleotides) under uncultured bacterium. RNAcentral describes it as "partial 16S ribosomal RNA". It matches the Rfam family "Bacterial small subunit ribosomal RNA", at positions 338 to 795 of the family's 1533-position model. The record is from RNAcentral.